This 444-nucleotide ribosomal RNA is filed under the name uncultured prokaryote. Its description in RNAcentral is "bacterial SSU rRNA". It matches the Rfam family "Bacterial small subunit ribosomal RNA", at positions 355 to 796 of the family's 1533-position model. The record is from RNAcentral.
UAAGGAAUAUUGGACAAUGGGCGCAAGCCUGAUCCAGCCAUCCCGCGUGAGGGACGACGGUCCUCAGGAUUGUAAACCUCUUUUGGGUGAGACGAAUAGCCUGGACUUGUCCGGGUAUGACGGUAUCACCAGAAUAAGCGACGGCUAACUCCGUGCCAGCAGCCGCGGUAAUACGGGGGUCGCGAGCGUUAUCCGGAUUUACUGGGUUUAAAGGGUGCGUAGGCUGCUCGUUAAGUCUGUGGUGAAAGGCUGGGGCUCAACCCCGGGAGUGCCAUGGAUACUGGCGAGCUUGAGUGAAGUUUAGGCUGGCGGAAUGCGGCAUGUAGCGGUGAAAUGCUUAGAUAUGCCGUAGAACACCAAUUGCGAAGGCAGCUGGCUGGGCUUACACUGACGCUGAGGCACGAAAGCGUGGGGAGCGAACGGGAUUAGAUACCCCCGUAGUCC